GCUAAUACCGCAUACACUCUGAGGAGGAAAGUAGGGGAUCGAAAGACCUUAUGCUUUUGGAGCGGCCGAUGUCUGAUUAGCUAGUUGGUAAGGUAAUGGCUUACCAAGGCAACGAUCAGUAGUUGGUCUGAGAGGACGACCAGCCACACUGGGACUGAGACACGGCCCAGACUCCUACGGGAGGCAGCAGUGGGGAAUUUUGGACAAUGGGCGCAAGCCUGAUCCAGCAAUGCCGCGUGAGCGAAGAAGGCCUUCGGGUUGUAAAGCUCUUUCAGUUGAGAAGAAAAGAUUGUGACUAAUAAUUGCAAUUCAUGACGGUAUCAACAGAAGAAGCACCGGCUAACUCCGUGCCAGCAGCCGCGGUAAUACGUAGGGUGCGAGCGUUAAUCGGAAUUACUGGGCGUAAAGGGUGCGCAGGCGGUUCUGUAAGUCAGAUGUGAAAUCCCCGGGCUUAACCUGGGAACUGCGUUUGAAACUA
Molecule: ribosomal RNA, 478 nt
Filed under: uncultured ammonia-oxidizing bacterium
Lineage: Bacteria
Description: bacterial SSU rRNA
Rfam family: Bacterial small subunit ribosomal RNA
Source: RNAcentral